RNAcentral lists this non-coding RNA (84 nucleotides) under unclassified sequences. RNAcentral describes it as "HTH-XRE RNA". It matches the Rfam family "HTH-XRE RNA". The record is from RNAcentral.
GAUCAGCAGUGUGGUAUAGGCGGCUUGGACAGUGCCGCAUCGGAACUCUAUACCCGGAAGACUUGCAAAGGUGAUUUCCCUUCC